Molecule: ribosomal RNA, 468 nt
Filed under: uncultured bacterium
Lineage: Bacteria
Description: partial 16S ribosomal RNA
Rfam family: Bacterial small subunit ribosomal RNA
Source: RNAcentral
GACGAACGCUGGCGGCGCGCCUAACACAUGCAAGUCGAACGGAGCUGCGAGAAGCUUGCUUUUCUUAGCUUAGUGGCGAACGGGUGAGUAACGCGUGAGUAACCUGCCCUGGAGUGGGGGACAACAGUUGGAAACGACUGCUAAUACCGCAUAAGCCCACGAUCCGGCAUCGGAUUGAGGGAAAAGGAUUUAUUCGCUUCAGGAUGGACUCGCGUCCAAUUAGCUAGUUGGUGAGGUAACGGCCCACCAAGGCGACGAUUGGUAGCCGGACUGAGAGGUUGACCGGCCACAUUGGGACUGAGACACGGCCCAGACUCCUACGGGAGGCAGCAGUGGGGGAUAUUGCACAAUGGGGGAAACCCUGAUGCAGCGACGCCGCGUGGAGGAAGAAGGUUUUCGGAUUGUAAACUCCUGUCGUUAGGGACGAUAAUGACGGUACCUAACAAGAAAGCACCGGCUAACUACGUG